This 794-nucleotide long non-coding RNA is filed under the name Androctonus crassicauda. Lineage: Eukaryota; Metazoa; Arthropoda; Arachnida; Scorpiones; Buthidae. The record is from RNAcentral.
AUUUUUUUAAUGCAUUUUUAAAUUAAUUUGCAUUCUCAACUUUGAUGACAUUAUUUAUGACUGUACCACGGAAAAAAAAAAAAACUUUUUCGCAGUUGUUUGUAAAAGUGCUGUGUAGUAUUUUUGUUCGUGGUCAACAAUGAAAUUUAUGUGGGAACUGCAAACCCCUUUUCUCCCCCACCGUUAAACCUUCAAUAGUAGAAAAAGAGUGUCUCUUUGGGAAAAACCGCCUUAUUUACCAAAAUCCGACCCAUUUCCGUUCUUUUUCAAAAACACUUCUAUUGAAAUUGGCGAGAAAACAAUUUUCUCAUUCUAUGAAGAGUCAACAACAAUCGAGAAAAGGAAAAAAUAUAUAUAUAUAUCUCAAGAAAAUUUUCCAUCGGAAAUCGUUUCAGGGGUUACAAUACACAAUACAACUUACCGCACCAGACACGGUGACCCGGUUAUCCUUCGACCUUGUGACCUUAGGACUGGCUGACCCUUGCCGGAGUGGCGAAAGGCCAAAUUAUCUGGAACCCAUACAAGAGCGUGUGAACCGAACUUGGUAAGGAUUGCAUCCUUCGCAUAAACAGAUUUUCUGUAUAGGUUGGUAGAAAUUUAUCGAUUAUUCUUAAUUCUAUCACUGUUGAUUCAUAUACUGGCAAAAUUAAUUAAGAAAUUUCGAUUAUUUACACCCGCUUUCAAUAACUGAUUGAUUGAUCUCUUCAAUUAACUCUUUGUUCGGAUCGAGUUUAUUUUUAGCAUUCUAUUUCCAGGAUGAUUUUCUUUUUCUUAAUUUGUUUUCUACCUUCUCG